GCUGGCGGCAGGCCUAACACAUGCAAGUCGAGCGCGCCUUCGGGCGAGCGGCGGACGGGUUAGUGACGCGUGGGAACGUGCCCAGAUCUACGGAAUAGCCACUGGAAACGGUGAGUAAUACCGUAUAUGCCCUUCGGGGGAAAGAUUUAUCGGAUUUGGAUCGGCCCGCGUUAGAUUAGGUAGUUGGUGGGGUAACGGCCUACCAAGCCUACGAUCUAUAGCUGGUUUUAGAGGAUGAUCAGCAACACUGGGACUGAGACACGGCCCAGACUCCUACGGGAGGCAGCAGUGGGGAAUCUUGGACAAUGGGGGCAACCCUGAUCCAGCCAUGCCGCGUGAGUGAAGAAGGCCCUAGGGUCGUAAAACUCUUUCGCCUGUGAUGAUAAUGACAGUAGCAGGUAAAGAAACCCCGGCUAACUCCGUGCCAGCAGCCGCGGUAAUACGGAGGGGGUUAGCGUUGUUCGGAAUUACUGGGCGUAAAGCGCACGUAGGCGGAUUAGAAAGUUAGAGGUGAAAUCCCGGGGCUCAACCCCGGAACUGCCUUUAAAACUACUAGUCUAGAGUUCGAGAGAGGUGAGUGGAAUUCCGAGUGUAGAGGUGAAAUUCGUAGAUAUUCGGAGGAACACCAGUGGCGAAGGCGGCUCACUGGCUCGAUACUGACGCUGAGGUGCGAAAGUGUGGGGAGCAAACAGGAUUAGAUACCCUGGUAGUCCACACCGUAAACGAUGAAUGCCAGUCGUCGGGUAGUAUACUAUUCGGUGACACACCUAACGGAUUAAGCAUUCCGCCUGGGGAGUACGGUCGCAAGAUUAAAACUCAAAGGAAUUGA
RNAcentral lists this ribosomal RNA (829 nucleotides) under uncultured marine bacterium. Its description in RNAcentral is "bacterial SSU rRNA". It matches the Rfam family "Bacterial small subunit ribosomal RNA", at positions 35 to 913 of the family's 1533-position model. The record is from RNAcentral.